Molecule: non-coding RNA, 88 nt
Filed under: Stenotrophomonas terrae
Lineage: Bacteria; Pseudomonadati; Pseudomonadota; Gammaproteobacteria; Lysobacterales; Lysobacteraceae
Description: Xanthomonadaceae sRNA sX13
Rfam family: Xanthomonadaceae sRNA sX13
Source: Rfam by way of RNAcentral
AAUGUCUGUCACGGAUCUCUCCCAUCCCCUGGAGCAGAUCUCGGAGCGGGGAUUCCUCCCCAAAUGCCCGCUCCCCGGCCCCGUCGAC